Molecule: ribosomal RNA, 439 nt
Filed under: uncultured bacterium
Lineage: Bacteria
Description: partial 16S ribosomal RNA
Rfam family: Bacterial small subunit ribosomal RNA
Source: RNAcentral
CUACGGGAGGCUCCAGUGGGGAAUAUUGCACAAUGGUGGAAACUCUGAUGCAGCAACGCCGCGUGGAGGAUGACACUUUUCGGAGCGUAAACUCCUUUUAUAUAGGAAGAAGAUGACGGUACUAUAUGAAUAAGCGCCGGCUAACUCCGUGCCAGCAGCCGCGGUAAUACGGAGGGCGCAAGCGUUACUCGGAAUCACUGGGCGUAAAGAGCGUGUAGGCGGAUUAAAACGUCAGAAGUGAAAUCCUAUAGCUUAACUAUAGAACUGCUUCUGAAACUCUUAAUCUAGAAUAUGGGAGAGGUAGAUGGAAUUUCUGGUGUAGGGGUAAAAUCCGUAGAGAUCAGAAGGAAUACCGAUUGCGAAGGCGAUCUACUAGAACAUUAUUGACGCUGAGACGCGAAAGCGUGGGGAGCAAACAGGAUUAGAUACCCGCGUAGUC